CGCGGCUCCACCCCCUGCGCGAGCCGGGUCGGCAGGCCCUACAGCCUGCCGGACAUUAGGGUACGAGGCCGUCCAUUCUCCGCGCAGCCCACGCCAAGCCGCUGCUUAUCCGGAGCCGGAGCUCUCUCUUCUCUUCUAGAGACUGGUCAACUCUGCGGCGGCGGGGCGCACAGGGGAGGAGCUUCCUCUCUCCAACCUGGCCCUCCCAGGCGCUGCCAGCCACCCGAGCCCGCCUUUCGGAGCUCCUCCCUCCCCAGACUUCUCAGGCGACGUCAGCGGCGGAUGCCGAGGCGGGGAUGAGGGCCACUGGCCCGCGAUCCUGCCAGCAAGGCUCCGGCCUCGGCCUCAGGCCCGAGAUCUCCGCCUUGUGGCGACCAGACGACGUGUGCCACACCGGCGGGGCUCGGGCGGGGGCUUCGAAGUAGGGAAGUGAGCCAGGGGCGCUCAAUUUGUCUUCUCUCCCCCCAACCCACAAGGUUGGAAAGGUUUUCUUUUGGGGAAAUUGCCUCUCCGCAGCUUCACACCCAGCCAGCGGACCCUCCCACCCAGGAGGAAUGUCCUCUGGUCCCAUCGGCGCGUCUUCCGGGAGUCGCCAAACACCAGACAGAGGUAGCGGGGUGGGUGUGGCAGCUGCCAUUUCCUGACUCCGCGCCUGCGCGGAAAGCCCUUUGAGGACGUGCGGUGGUGACUUACUAGGGCUCCGCACUUCUCAGCCCGGUGAGUCAGGUAGGGGUGUAGAUUCACUUGCGUACCUGGACUCCAAUCUAACCUCACUUCCAACUACUUCAGUCGUGUGGGGGUGGUUGAUAAGCCCUGUCAGAGCUUAAUCCUGUCUAAACGUUCAGAUGUUUAGUUCCUGUUGAGUGCUUCUCUACUAGGGACGUAUUCUUCUCUCUCUCUUUUUUUUUUUCCUCUCCUGACGUCCAUAAUUACAGACAGAGAUUGAAAAGUAACCUUGAGAGAGUCCCUCCCUUGAUUCCAGGGCAAGUUACUAGAGGAUGUGCUCCAACAAAACGUGAGAGCAAGACAAGAAAGAGAAAGACAUGGGAUCCAGAAAAAAGGACCAGGAGAAUGUGACGGGAAAUUCCAGGGUGAAAGAUAUGUGGCAGAAUUAGAGAGCAGUCGUUUUCACCAGAGAAGGAAGAUGGCAGACUCCAAGAAGAAAGACUGCAAAGUGAAUCAGCUUUAUGUAUACAUAUAAUGUCCAUGGACAGAGGAAUGGAUAAAGAAGAUGUGGUAUAUAUAUACAAUGGAAUAUUAUCCAGCCAUAAAAAGGAAUGAAAUUGGGUCAUUUGUAGAGACGUGGAUGGAGCCAGAGACUGUCAUAAAGAGUGAAGAAGGAGUACUGGCCUGAUGAGGGAAGGGGAAUGGAUGGUACAGCGAGAGCCUGGGUAUAUUAUUCCAGUGAAAGAACUCCUCCUGGAAGAAAAUACCUGGAAUGAGGGGAUGGUGCAGCAGUGCCUCCCGUUUCUCGUCCUACACCUGGUCACUACCAUGUCCUGUACCGCGGGUGUGGAGAAACGCAGUUGGGCUGGCACGGGGAGACAUACUGCCUGGUUGGUGGCUACCGGUUCUACGGGGAUGUUCCUUUGGCCACGCCAGCUAAGGUAGAAGCAGAGAAGCCAGUCCCCAGACGUGCUCCGAAGAGAAAGCACUCUCUGGAAUGGUCGGACGAAGACCUGGGUUGCCCCAGACCCAAAAUCCGGCGAUUGGAGCUUUCAAGCAGCACAGGAAUACAAGAUGCUCCUUUGGCCACGCCAGCCAAGGUGGAAGCAGAGAAGCCAGUCCCCAGACGUGCUCCGAAGAGAAAGCACUCUCCGGAAAUGCCGGACGAAGACCUGGGUUGCUCCAGACCCAAAAUCCGGCAAUUGUAGCAUGGUGCCAGGAGGCGGACCCCACAGAAUCUUGCAGGGGCCCCUUUGUGAGCUGAAGAAAGAAAAGUCUAGAAAAAACGGAUAGCUGCGAGGGGAAGAUGGCGGAAGAGUAAGACGCGGAGAUCACCUUCCUCCCCACAGAUACACCAGAAAUACAUCUACACGUGGAACAACUCCUACAGAACACCUACUGAACGCUGGCAGAAGACCUCAGACCUCCCAAAAGGCAAGAAACUCCCCACAUACCUGGGUAGGGCAAAAGAAAAAAAGAGAAAACAGAGACAAAAGAAUAGGGACGGGACCUGCACCAGUGGGAGGGAGCUGUGAAGGAGGAAAUGUUUCCACACACUAGGAAUACCAUUCCCUGGCGGGGACUGCGGGGUAGCUCUGGAACCUCAGAGGAGAGAGCAGCAACAGAGGUGCAGAGGCAGAGCGGAGAGAUUCCCACACAGAGGAUCGGUGCAGACCAGCACUCACCAGCCUGAGAUGCUUGUCUGCUCACUCGCCGGGGCGGGUGGGGGCUGAGUGCUGAGGCUUGGUCUUCAGAGGUCAGAACCCAGGGAGAGGACUGGGGUUGACUGCAUGAGGACAGCCGGGGGGCGGCUAGUGCGCCAGAGCUAGUUGGCAGAGAGUCUGGGAAAAAGCUGGGCCUGCCAGAGAGGCAAGAGACCUUUGUUGCGGGGUGCUUGAGGAGCGGCCUGCCAUAGGAGCUUCCUGCUUCACACACUCACAGACAGCAGGGCAACACCUACAUGAGCACAAGCACAAGCCGUGGCUGUUAUAUCUGAUCCCAGAGGCUGCCGUCCACCGCUGCUACCAAGAGUCCUGUGUGCAAGGCAGGUCACUGCCCACACCUUCCCAGCAGCCUGUGGAGCCCACCACUGCCGAGGGUGCUGCGAUUGGGGCCAACUUCCCCAGGAGAACGCACAGCACGGCUCAGGCUCUUGCAGCUUCAUGCUGGCCUCUGCCACAGCAGGCACUCCCUGCACAUCCUGAUUGUGAUUGCCACAUCCCUCCCUCUCCCCAGCCUGAGUGAGCAAGUGAACCCUAAUCAGCUGCUGCUUUCGCACCCUUUUUCCUGUGCAGCGAACAGAUGUCUGAGGGCGGCCCACUCCCAGAGGUGGGGCCAAAACCAAAGCUAAACCCCAGGGGCUGUGCAACCAAAGAAGAGAAAGGGAAAUCUCCCCGUGCAGCUGCAGAAGCAGUGGAUUAAAUCCCUGCAAUCGGCUUGGCAAACCCUGCGUCUGUAGAAUACCUGAAUAGACAACAAGUUUUCCCACAAUUGAGGCUGUGGGCUUUGGGGACAAGUACAUGUGGGAGUAAGGUCAGAUCAGUCUGAUCUUGCCCCACAGUGCCCACAGUAGGUCCAGAGACCUACCUAGAAGUACUGGAGGACUUCCUGUGGAGGCAGUGAUUGGCUGUGGCUCACUAUGUGGGCAAGGACACUGACAGCUAAGGCCACAGGAAAAUAUCACUACUUUUUUUGUUGUUCAGUUGUUCUUUUUUUAUUAUUCUUUUAAUUUUUUACUUUUUUAUGCUUUUAUUUUUAAUAUAUUUCUAUUCUAUUUUUUUCC
Long non-coding RNA from Globicephala melas (long-finned pilot whale), 3448 nucleotides. RefSeq lists it as uncharacterized. The record is from RefSeq and is a predicted model, not a curated record. Lineage: Eukaryota; Metazoa; Chordata; Mammalia; Artiodactyla; Delphinidae.